This 23-nucleotide non-coding RNA is filed under the name Arabidopsis thaliana (thale cress). Lineage: Eukaryota; Viridiplantae; Streptophyta; Magnoliopsida; Brassicales; Brassicaceae. The record is from RNAcentral.
GGUAGGAAAAACGAAUGGUGGUA